This 252-nucleotide ribosomal RNA is filed under the name uncultured bacterium. RNAcentral's name for it is "partial 16S ribosomal RNA". It matches the Rfam family "Bacterial small subunit ribosomal RNA", at positions 524 to 776 of the family's 1533-position model. The record is from RNAcentral.
UACGUAGGUCCCGAGCGUUGUCCGGAUUUAUUGGGUGUAAAGCGAGCGCAGGCGGUUUAUUAAGUCUGGUGUAAAAGGCAGUGGCUCAACCAUUGUAUGCAUUGGAAACUGGUAGACUUGAGUGCAGGAGAGGAGAGUGGAAUUCCAUGUGUAGCGGUGAAAUGCGUAGAUAUAUGGAGGAACACCGGUGGCGAAAGCGGCUCUCUGGCCUGUAACUGACACUGAGGCUCGAAAGCGUGGGGAGCAAACAGG